GAUGAAGAACGUAGCGAAAUGCGAUAAGUAAUGUGAAUUGCAGAUUUCCAGUGAAUCAUCGAGUCUUUGAACGCACAUUGCGCCCCCUGGUAUUCCGGGGGGCAUGCCUGUCCGAGCGUCAUUGCUGCCCUCAAGCCCGGCUUGUGUGUUGGGUCUCGUCCCCCUUCCCGGGGGGACGGGCCCGAAAGGCAGCGGCGGCACCGCGUCCGGUCCUCGAGCGUAUGGGGCUUUGUCACCCGCUCUGUAGGCCCGGCCGGCGCUUGCCGAUCAACCAAAACUUUUUUCCAGGUUGACCUCGGAUCAGGUAGGGAUACCCGCUGAACUUAAGCAUAUCAAUAAGCGGAGGA
This 347-nucleotide unclassified non-coding RNA is filed under the name soil metagenome. RNAcentral describes it as "partial contains 5.8S ribosomal RNA, internal transcribed spacer 2, and large subunit ribosomal RNA". The stretch from base 1 to 121 matches the Rfam family "5.8S ribosomal RNA", at positions 35 to 154 of the family's 154-position model. The record is from RNAcentral.